CUGUAAGCGUUGUGCAUUUUUCUUUCAGCUGUCAGAUCCUCUCCUCUGAAGAGAGUAUCAUUGAGGAACAGUUUGAGAUAAGCAAUAAGGACCAGAAGAACAUAAAGAGAUCCUCAUGGCUGUCAGAAAAGUAUCUGCUCCAUCCUCUCGUUCUUAUCCUGAAUUAUGCUGGGAUCGCCAUCAUGGGCCACGAGAAGCCUUCUGCCGUUUCCAGACAGCGGGACAGUUCUGCAUCCCUGUGCCAGGAGCUGAAGUGGAUGGCACUUUGGGUGAAACCAGGACUUCUCCACCACAUACCUGUGCCCCCGGAGACGGUCGGGUCCCCUGAAAGCUCCAUUGUUCUUCCUGCCCUAUUGCACGCACGGUGAUUAUAUAGCCUUGGAUAAGCAGUAAUACGUUGCUUGCUGAAAUAAUAACCUAUCCUCAGUUUAAACAGUGCUAUAUUUAAGAUUUAUAUAUAUUUAAAUGUCGGUAGUAUGUGACAUAUUAUCAUUUGGAUGACAGUUUGUAAAUAAGAUAUUGGAAAGAAAAGCAUCAGCUGCAUUUAGGGAGGUAAAUCUUGGGGUCAGGCAGGACGGCCGGAUCCAUGUGGAUUUUAAAGAAGCCUCAGAACCUCUUGGGGUUGGGGAUGGGCAAGGACCCUGCCUGGGUCCGAGAUCCAGGAAACCCCGAUUACUGCUUCCAUGUCUGAAGGUCAAUCUUUUUUUGUAGCCCUUUUAACUUGUCUUUAUUCCCUAACAUGAAAAAAAGGGCUAACAGCAUUUUCCUACCACAGUGGGAUGUUGGCCGACCGUUGUAAAUAGCUCUAAACCAAGACACAGGUGUAAAAGCUCUGCAGGUCAGCGUGGCCAUCACGGGUCAGCGUUAGUCCCACCCAAAGUGGGUCUCAGCACUCAAAUCUGCUUUUACUCCCCAGUUUGGUUUCUACGCAGGGAGGGAGCUGAUGAGAGGAG
RNAcentral lists this long non-coding RNA (953 nucleotides) under Calidris pugnax (ruff). RNAcentral's name for it is "lncRNA (ENSCPUG00000006583.1)". The record is from RNAcentral. Lineage: Eukaryota; Metazoa; Chordata; Aves; Charadriiformes; Scolopacidae.